This 505-nucleotide ribosomal RNA is filed under the name Fusarium oxysporum. RNAcentral describes it as "eukaryotic LSU rRNA". The stretch from base 137 to 290 matches the Rfam family "5.8S ribosomal RNA". Lineage: Eukaryota; Fungi; Ascomycota; Sordariomycetes; Hypocreales; Nectriaceae. The record is from RNAcentral.
AACUCCCAACCCCUGUGACAUACCACUUGUUGCCUCGGCGGAUCAGCCCGCUCCCGGUAAAACGGGACGGCCCGCCAGAGGACCCCUAAACUCUGUUUCUAUAUGUAACUUCUGAGUAAAACCAUAAAUAAAUCAAAACUUUCAACAACGGAUCUCUUGGUUCUGGCAUCGAUGAAGAACGCAGCAAAAUGCGAUAAGUAAUGUGAAUUGCAGAAUUCAGUGAAUCAUCGAAUCUUUGAACGCACAUUGCGCCCGCCAGUAUUCUGGCGGGCAUGCCUGUUCGAGCGUCAUUUCAACCCUCAAGCACAGCUUGGUGUUGGGACUCGCGUUAAUUCGCGUUCCUCAAAUUGAUUGGCGGUCACGUCGAGCUUCCAUAGCGUAGUAGUAAAACCCUCGUUACUGGUAAUCGUCGCGGCCACGCCGUUAAACCCCAACUUCUGAAUGUUGACCUCGGAUCAGGUAGGAAUACCCGCUGAACUUAAACCAUAUCAAAUAAGCGGAGGAA